Molecule: long non-coding RNA, 94 nt
Organism: Aricia agestis (brown argus)
Lineage: Eukaryota; Metazoa; Arthropoda; Insecta; Lepidoptera; Lycaenidae
Exons: 3
Source: RefSeq, a predicted model, not a curated record
UCUCAAUCUUCGCUAUUGCGCACCCCCGACCCCGCCUUGGUAGCAGCGCCCACUUCGAAACGGGCGUAAAUCGCAAUAUUUUAAUUUCGCCAUA